UGAGUUUUACAAGAAUUAUGAUGCUCAGGCUGAGUUUGACCGUAUCAGGAAUCUUGGUUUGUUCACCUCCUGUAAGCCAGAUGGAGAAGUAGAAGAGUAAUAUGACUUAAGCAAAAUAGCAUCUUUUUCAAUUCCAGGUUGUGUGUAACACUGAGGGAAAAUUGUUUUUACUGUAAAAAAGCU
This is a non-coding RNA of Cherax quadricarinatus, 183 nucleotides long. The record is from RefSeq and is a predicted model, not a curated record. Lineage: Eukaryota; Metazoa; Arthropoda; Malacostraca; Decapoda; Parastacidae.